This 463-nucleotide ribosomal RNA is filed under the name uncultured bacterium. RNAcentral's name for it is "bacterial SSU rRNA". It matches the Rfam family "Bacterial small subunit ribosomal RNA", at positions 331 to 792 of the family's 1533-position model. The record is from RNAcentral.
CCAGACUCCUACGGGAGGCAGCAGUGAGGAAUAUUGGUCAAUGGUCGGGAGACUGAACCAGCCAAGCCGCGUGAGGGAGGAAGGUACAGAGUAUCGUAAACCUCUUUUGUCAGGGAACAAAGACUGGGACGCGUCCCCGGAUGAGUGUACCUGAAGAAAAAGCAUCGGCUAACUCCGUGCCAGCAGCCGCGGCAAUACGGAGGAUGCGAGCGUUAUCCGGAUUUAUUGGGUUUAAAGGGUGCGCAGGCGGCCUGUUAAGUCAGCGGUAAAAGCCCGGGGCUCAACCCCGGCGAGCCGUUGAAACUGGCGGGCUGGAGUUGGAGAGAAGUACGCGGAAUGCGCGGUGUAGCGGUGAAAUGCUUAGAUAUCGCGCAGAACCCCGAUUGCGAAGGCAGCGUACCGGCUCCACACUGACGCUGAGGCACGAAAGCGUGGGUAUCGAACAGGAUUAGAUACCCUAGUA